Hemibagrus wyckioides is the source of this 1136-nucleotide long non-coding RNA. RefSeq lists it as uncharacterized. The record is from RefSeq and is a predicted model, not a curated record. Lineage: Eukaryota; Metazoa; Chordata; Actinopteri; Siluriformes; Bagridae. The transcript is spliced from 3 exons.
AAGUGAAGGUAAGAGGCAAGAGAUCAACAUGACUGGAACUUUCUUAUACAUAGUAGUGUUCAUUUUGUUCAAAGGUUCCUGUAAGGGUGUGUUGAUCACUCAGUGGCCUAAAUACAUCUCCAGCCUUAAAAACACCCCAGUGCACAUGCACUGUUACCAAAAUGACACAGAUUAUGACUACACUUAUUGGUACAGACAAAUUGGUAAUGAGCUAGUGCUUAUAACCAGAUCUGUAAGUGGCACCCACAACCAGGAGAAAGGGUAUGAAAAUGGCUUCAAAGCCUCAGGAACAAAAAAGCAGUGGUCCUUGACAGUGGAUGUUAAAGAGGACAGUGAUGCUGUUUACCUAUGUGCUGCUAGGUUCCACAGUGUAUAAAUGCUGGUAAUUUGUGAUACAAAAACAUACUGGAAGGCCGCCAGAGCUCACAGCUGAUUCAACCACAUCAGUGUUGAUUUCUGUGCUGUUUUACUGAAUUCCUUUCACCCAUUUUCUGUUACACUUAUUUUUAAGUGUUGUUGGGAACCAGGAGUCUAUCCCACGGGACUCUAAAAAGAAUACAGGUUCAUGCAGCAGCACUGCAGCUGAGUAACACACAUGACAUGAUAUAUCGUUAUAUACUCUUGUUUGUUUUAUUGAAAGGUAUGCAACUGUAAAUUACUUACAAGACAUUAAAUUAAAUGUACAUGGAAAGUUACAGAUAUCUAGUAGAUUCUAUAACCACCCUGUGUCUCUUUUAGGUUUCUGUAAGGGUGUGUUGAUGAGUGUAUUAGAUGGAACUAAUACGUUUAGAUUUGUGAAAAAAGUGUAUUUAGUUAGAGAGUUUUGCCAGUAGGGGGAGAUGUGUACAACUGUAAACGGUCCAAAAACACUUCUGCUUACUCUAAGCCUCUCUGUUUCUAAUAGUAAAGGCUUUAGUAUCUGAAUAAAUCGCUCCCUCAAGAUGUGCAUCAGAAGGAUGUAUGUAGCUGUUUCUAAGUUCUACCUGUUCUUAUAUUUCUUUACAGGAAGGACAAACUGUGCUAAUGUUCUACAGAGUUCUUCACUCCUAGUGAAUAAAACACAGAAUGUAACGAUUGAGUGUAGCCAUGAGGACAAUAGCUUAUAUGUUAUGUUAUGGUAUCAGCAAAAGAUUGAC